Molecule: ribosomal RNA, 517 nt
Filed under: uncultured bacterium
Lineage: Bacteria
Description: bacterial SSU rRNA
Rfam family: Bacterial small subunit ribosomal RNA
Source: RNAcentral
AGAACUUAGCAGAGAUGCUUUGGUGCCUUCGGGAACUCUGAGACAGGUGCUGCAUGGCUGUCGUCAGCUCGUGUUGUGAAAUGUUGGGUUAAGUCCCGNAACGAGCGCAACCCUUAUCCUUUGUUGCCAGCGGUUCGGCCGGGAACUCAAAGGAGACUGCCGGUGAUAAACCGGAGGAAGGUGGGAAUGACGUCAAGUCAUCAUGGCCCUUACGGCCAGGGCUACACACGUGCUACAAUGGCGCAUACAAAGAGAAGCGACCUCGCGAGAGCAAGCGGACCUCAUAAAGUGCGUCGUAGUCCGGAUUGGAGUCUGCAACUCGACUCCAUGAAGUCGGAAUCGCUAGUAAUCGUAGAUCAGAAUGCUACGGUGAAUACGUUCCCGGGCCUUGUACACACCGCCCGUCACACCAUGGGAGUGGGUUGCAAAAGAAGUAGGUAGCUUAACCUUCGGGAGGGCGCUUACCACUUUGUGAUUCAUGACUGGGGUGAAGUCGUAACAAGGUAGGCGUAGCGAG